UAGGGAAUAUUAGUAAUGGGCGAAAGCCUGAACUAGCAACGCCGCGUGUGCGAAGAAGGCCUUCGGGUUGUAAAACACUUUUUGAGGGGAUGAGGAAGGACAGUACCCUCAGAAUAAGCCUCGGCUAACUACGUGCCAGCAGCCGCGGUAAAACGUAGGAGGCGAGCGUUAUCCGGAUUUACUGGGCGUAAAGCGCGUGCAGGCGGCACGGCAAGUUGGAUGUGAAAGCUCCCGGCUUAACUGGGAGAGGUCGUUCAAAACUGCCGAGCUAGAGUGCGGGAGAGGGAGGUGGAAUUCCGGGUGUAGUGGUGAAAUGCGUAGAUAUCCGGAGGAACACCAGUGGCGAAAGCGGCCUCCUGGUCCGCAACUGACGCUCAGACGCGAAAGCUAGGGUAGCAAACGG
RNAcentral lists this ribosomal RNA (403 nucleotides) under uncultured bacterium. RNAcentral describes it as "bacterial SSU rRNA". It matches the Rfam family "Bacterial small subunit ribosomal RNA", at positions 355 to 775 of the family's 1533-position model. The record is from RNAcentral.